Molecule: ribosomal RNA, 431 nt
Filed under: uncultured bacterium
Lineage: Bacteria
Description: partial 16S ribosomal RNA
Rfam family: Bacterial small subunit ribosomal RNA
Source: RNAcentral
GGGGGGGGGGGGGGGCGGGCCGGGCGGGGGCGGGGCGGGCGCCCGUGGGGGGGCGCGGCGUCCGGGGGAGUACCGCGUGGGGAGAUGCCCUUCUCUACGUAAGGGCCUCGGGAACCUGAGAGUAAUACCUUCUACGCCCUUUGGGCGACAGAGUGCGCGGGGCCGGAGUAGCCCGCCUUUGACUCGGUAGUUGGGGGGGUAGUGGCCUACCCAGCCGACCAUCCAUAGCUUGUUUGAGAGGAUGAUCAGCCACACUGGGACUGAGACACGGCCCAGACUCCUACGGGAGGCAGCAGUGGGGAAUCUUAGACAAUGGGGGCAACCCUGAUCUAGCCAUGCCGCGUGAGUGAUGAAGGCCUUAGGGUUGUAAAGCUCUUUAAGCUGGGAAGAUAAUGACGGUACCAGCAGAAGAAGCCCCGGCUAACUCCGUG